Molecule: unclassified non-coding RNA, 220 nt
Filed under: uncultured Tomentella
Lineage: Eukaryota; Fungi; Basidiomycota; Agaricomycetes; Thelephorales; Thelephoraceae
Description: sequence contains ITS2
Source: RNAcentral
ACAUCUCAACUCCUCACGGUUCGCCCGUGAUGAGCUUGGACUUUGGGGGUCUUGCCGGCCUGCAGGUCGGCUCCUCUCAAAUGAAUCAGCUUGCCGGUGUUUGGUGGCGUCACAGGUGUGAUAACUAUCUACGCUUGUGGUUUUCCGCCAGGUAACCUCCAGCAAUGGGGGUUCACUGGAGCUCACAGACGUCUCUCCUCGGUGAGGACAGCUUUUGAAC